CCUACGGGUGGCAGCAGUGGGGAAUAUUGCACAAUGGGCGCAAGCCUGAUGCAGCCAUGCCGCGUGUGUGAAGAAGGCCUUCGGGUUGUAAAGCACUUUCAGCGGGGAGGAAGGCGGUGAGGUUAAUAACCUCAUCGAUUGACGUUACCCGCAGAAGAAGCACCGGCUAACUCCGUGCCAGCAGCCGCGGUAAUACGGAGGGUGCAAGCGUUAAUCGGAAUUACUGGGCGUAAAGCGCACGCAGGCGGUCUGUCAAGUCGGAUGUGAAAUCCCCGGGCUCAACCUGGGAACUGCAUUCGAAACUGGCAGGCUAGAGUCUUGUAGAGGGGGGUAGAAUGCCAGGUGUAGGGGUGAAAUGCGUAGAGAUCUGGAGGAAUACCGGUGGCGAAGGCGGCCCCCUGGACAAAGACUGACGCUCAGGUGCGAAAGCGUGGGGAGCAAACAGGAUGAGAUACCCCAUAGUC
This 464-nucleotide ribosomal RNA is filed under the name uncultured Klebsiella sp. RNAcentral's name for it is "bacterial SSU rRNA". It matches the Rfam family "Bacterial small subunit ribosomal RNA", at positions 338 to 795 of the family's 1533-position model. Lineage: Bacteria; Pseudomonadati; Pseudomonadota; Gammaproteobacteria; Enterobacterales; Enterobacteriaceae. The record is from RNAcentral.